CCCUUAGAUGUUCUGGGCCGCACGCGCGCUACACUGAUGCAUUCAACGAGCCUAUCCUUGACCGACAGGUCCGGGUAAUCUUUGAAUCUGCAUCGUGACGGGGAUAGAUUAUUGCAAUUAUUAAUCUUCAACGAGGAAUGCCUAGUAGGCGCAAGUCAUCAGCUUGCGUCGAUUACGUCCCUGCCCUUUGUACACACCGCCCGCCGCUACUACCGAUUGAACGGUUUAGUGAGGGCCUCGGAUUGGUCUCGGCCCGCUCUUUACCGGGCGGCGCCGUUGGUCGAGAAGACGCUCGAACUUGAUCGUUUAGAGGAAGUAAAAGUCGUAACA
Molecule: ribosomal RNA, 330 nt
Filed under: uncultured eukaryote
Lineage: Eukaryota
Description: partial 18S ribosomal RNA
Rfam family: Eukaryotic small subunit ribosomal RNA
Source: RNAcentral